This 496-nucleotide ribosomal RNA is filed under the name uncultured bacterium. RNAcentral describes it as "partial 16S ribosomal RNA". It matches the Rfam family "Bacterial small subunit ribosomal RNA", at positions 29 to 507 of the family's 1533-position model. The record is from RNAcentral.
AUGCACGCUGGCGGCGUGCCUAAUACAUGCAAGUCGAGCGAACAGACGAGGAGCUUGCUCCUCUGACGUUAGCGGCGGACGGGUGAGUAACACGUGGAUAACCUACCUAUAAGACUGGGAUAACUUCGGGAAACCGGAGCUAAUACCGGAUAAUAUAUUGAACCGCAUGGUUCAAUAGUGAAAGACGGUUUUGCUGUCACUUAUAGAUGGAUCCGCGCCGCAUUAGCUAGUUGGUAAGGUAACGGCUUACCAAGGCAACGAUGCGUAGCCGACCUGAGAGGGUGAUCAGCCACACUGGAACUGAGACACGGUCCAGACUCCUACGGGAGGCAGCAGUAGGGAAUCUUCCGCAAUGGGCGAAAGCCUGACGGAGCAACGCCGCGUGAGUGAUGAAGGUCUUCGGAUCGUAAAACUCUGUUAUUAGGGAAGAACAAAUGUGUAAGUAACUAUGCACGUCUUGACGGUACCUAAUCAGAAAGCCACGGCUAACUACGUG